Molecule: unclassified non-coding RNA, 343 nt
Filed under: soil metagenome
Description: partial contains 5.8S ribosomal RNA, internal transcribed spacer 2, and large subunit ribosomal RNA
Rfam family: 5.8S ribosomal RNA (bases 1-120)
Source: RNAcentral
GAUGAAGAACGCAGCGAAAUGCGAUAAGUAAUGUGAAUUGCAGAAUUCAGUGAAUCAUCGAAUCUUUGAACGCACAUUGCGCCCGCCAGCAUUCUGGCGGGCAUGCCUGUUCGAGCGUCGUUUCAACCCUCGAGCCCCCCCGGGGGCCUCGGUGUUGGGGGACGGCACACCAGCCGCCCCCGAAAUGCAGUGGCGACCCCGCCGCAGCCUCCCCUGCGUAGUAGCACACACCUCGCACCGGAGCGCGGAGGCGGUCACGCCGUAAAACGCCCAACUUUCUUAGAGUUGACCUCGGAUCAGGUAGGAAUACCCGCUGAACUUAAGCAUAUCAAUAAGCGGAGGA